GAGGAAUAUUGGUCAAUGGGCGCGAGCCUGAACCAGCCAAGUAGCGUGAAGGAUGACUGCCCUAUGGGUUGUAAACUUCUUUUAUAAGGGAAUAAAGUGAGGCACGUGUGCCUUAUUGUAUGUACCUUAGGAAUAAGCAUCGGCUAACUCCGUGCCAGCAGCCGCGGUAAUACGGAGGGUGCAAGCGUUAAUCGGAAUUACUGGGCGUAAAGCGCACGUAGGCUGCUUUGUAAGUCAGGGGUGAAAUCCCACGGCUCAACCGUGGAACUGCCUUUGAUACUGCUUAGCUUGAAUCCGGGAGAGGGUGGCGGAAUUCCAGGUGUAGGAGUGAAAUCCGUAGAUAUCUGGAGGAACAUCAGUGGCGAAGGCGGCCACCUGGACCGGUAUUGACGCUGAGGUGCGAAAGCGUGGGGAGCAAACA
This 421-nucleotide ribosomal RNA is filed under the name uncultured bacterium. Its description in RNAcentral is "bacterial SSU rRNA". It matches the Rfam family "Bacterial small subunit ribosomal RNA", at positions 356 to 774 of the family's 1533-position model. The record is from RNAcentral.